Homo sapiens (human) is the source of this 171-nucleotide long non-coding RNA. RefSeq lists it as uncharacterized. The transcript has 3 exons. Lineage: Eukaryota; Metazoa; Chordata; Mammalia; Primates; Hominidae. The record is from RefSeq and is a predicted model, not a curated record.
GACGAGAAAGAUUCUGUUUCGAAUAUAGCCACAGAAAUAAAGGAUGGACAACAAUCUGGGACAGUGUCUUCUCAGAAACCACCAGCCUUGAAGGCUACAAGUGACGAGAAAGAUUCUGUUUCGAAUAUAGCCACACAAAUAAAGGAUGGAGAAAAAUCUGGGACAGGUAAU